UCAUUAUAUGUGCCAGAAAAAGAAAACAUCUUUCCAAAAGAAGCCCUCGUCAUUCUCAACGCUAGAUUCUUCUCUUCUCAACGCUGCUUCUGGUUCAAGAAAUUCAAGCUCUUGUUUUGGAUGAAAGCUACAAACCACACUGGACGAACAACACGAGGUUGGAUUCUGUCUAAAUUCAUCUUUGUUGGACCUUAAUCUUCAAACUUCUAUAAACACCACACACAUUUUUGUUUAUGCAAAAUAAUAGAGCGACUUCACAGUUUCAAUUUCAACGGACCCGAUGGUUGGAAUUAUUGGCGGUGGUAUGUAUGGCCUUCUUUAUGCUCUCUAUCUCCAGAAGAGAGGCAUUAAGUCCACUGUUUUUUACACGGUUCAGUGCUACAUAUGCGAUUUCUCAAUUUCGAAUUGGGAUGGAAUGCUGUUCUAAUGUGUAGUCAUGAAAUCAAGUUGCUACUGUGGUUAGUUAUGGCACGUCGAAAUUUGAUUGCUAUUUGCAGGGAAUUUAUUUCAUAACAUGCUGAAACCUUUUUACCUUGUUGCAUAGGUUUCGACAUGUUUCAUAGAUCACUUAAGAAUUCAGUUUUGAAACAUAGUCGUUUAUAGAUGUAUUUGAAGAUAUGUGCAAAUAAUAAGGACAUAAUCCUUUCAUCAAUAAAGAAUGGGUAUAAAUUAUGUAUUGGCACUGAUGAAAAUUACACAAUUAUAGUUUAAAAAAUUGUCAUGCUUUGUAUAUGUUGUGGUUAUGCUUGACAAUCCUAUAUGGUAUAGCCAUCUCCGUAUAUGAAUAUUUCUUCCAUUUGUGCGAUUAAGUUUGAAGUAGCUUUGUUCUCAAAAGAAUCUUAAUUACUUACAUUGAGUAUACAGUUCCUGUUGAACGAGGAAUUAUUUUUGCUAAUUCAUGACAUCAUUCGUACACACCAACAACAAACCAUUGUCAUUCUCCAUGAGUUUUUCCAACAGAACAAUGUUGGUAGGCAGUCGAGAGCUAACAAUCCACGUCGUUUAUUUCGUCGUUUAGCCUGCAUCCUCACCCAAGUGAAGCGUUUAAAUAGAUUAGUAGGUGUCACAAACUACUCUUGCUUAGAUAAUCUGCGUAUGGAUCGUAAUUGUUUUGGGAGGCUUUGUAUGGUUUUCGGAGAACAGACUGGGUUGGUAGGCGGAACGUUUGUUAAAGUGGAAGAACAAGUAGCAAUUUUCUUAUGCGGAUUAGCACACCAUAAAAAAAAUAGCGUAGUUAACUUUGAAUUUUGGCGCUCCGGCCAUACGGUUUCACACUAUGUACAUGUAGUCCUCAAUGCCCUCAUAAAGCUUCAUGCUCUAUUUGUUGUGAAGCCUACUCCAGUACCAGCUGACUGUGUCGAUAAUAGAUGGAAAUGGUUUAAGGGCUGUUUGGGUGCUUUAGAUGAUACAUAUAUCACUGUGCGGGUAGACAUGGCUGACAAACCAAGAUAUCGAACUAGGAAAAGACAUAUAGUGACAAACACUUUGGCUGCAUGCACUAGAGACAUGUUUUACAUAUGUGUUCCCUGGGUGGGAAGGGUCGGCUGGUGAUGCAGAGUCCUACGGGACACUGUGACCCGCGAAUUUGGACUUAUAGUGCCUAGAGGUCACUAUUAUCUAUGUGACAAUGGAUAUGCGAAUAAUGAAGACUUUUUAACACCCUAUAAAGGAGUUAGUUACCACCUAAAAGAAUGAGGUCUAAACACUGAGAGACCCAAGAAUCGUCGUGAAAUAUUUAACAUGCGGCAUACGAGUGUGAGAAAUGUUAUUGAAAGGGCAUUUGCGGUUCUUAAAAUGCGCUGGGGCAUUCUCCGUUGCUCAUCAUUCUCAGGCUGAGGCAACUCUUGAAGAGGAUAUUGGUGUGCGAGUCAAUAGGGACAACAUUUACAAUCGUUUGCUAUUCUUGGAACGUCGUUAUCGGUCCUUCAAAGGACUAGUCGAGCAUGCAGGUACAAGGUGGGAUAAGCCAUCGAACAAGGUCUUUGCUUCGGAGAAAACAUAGACUGCUAUUUUGAAGGCUUGUGAAUUCCUUGGAGCAUAUACUAUUGAUGGUGAACCUGAAUACAAACAAAUGCAAAUGAUGUUUGGAGGUGAAGGUUUAAAGCUGGAAAACAAUGUAGAGGUCAUCACCAUUUCCAACACCACUUUGGAAGCAUAAUUUGUUGACACAACCCGUUUGGGUAAAGCACACGUCCGUGGGAAAUCUUAUUCAGCAGCUGGCAAACAAAAGAGUAAGAUGAAUCCACACAAACUUUUCGACGAUGUCGGAAACGCCUCUGACCACGAAUUUACGAAGGUAAAGGAACAACUAGAUCAUCAAAUGCUACUUCUUGUGUUUCAUCUAACUCGAAUGCAUGGUGGCGUCGUCCGUAUGAAUGAAAUCAAUUUCCAACAUACCAUGUUCUAUAUGUAAUAUUAGGAUAUCCAUUUGGAUAAUAAGUUGUAAC
Long non-coding RNA from Salvia splendens (bonfire salvia), 2447 nucleotides. RefSeq lists it as uncharacterized. The transcript is spliced from 4 exons. Lineage: Eukaryota; Viridiplantae; Streptophyta; Magnoliopsida; Lamiales; Lamiaceae. The record is from RefSeq and is a predicted model, not a curated record.